CGCAGCCGCGGUAAUUCCAGCUCCAAUAGCGUAUAUUAAAGUUGUUGCAGUUAAAAAGCUCGUAGUUGAAUUUCGGGGUCGGUAGGUUGGUCAUGCCACUGGUAUGUACUGGUUUCACUGAUUCCUCCUUCCUGAUGAACUGUAAUGCCAUUAAUUUGGUGUUGCAGGGAAUCUGGACUGUUACUUUGAAAAAAUUAGAGUGUUUAAAGCAGGCUAACGCCUGAAUACAUUAGCAUGGAAUAAUGAAAUAGGACGUUCGAUCCUAUUUUGUUGGUUUCUAGGAUUGACGUAAUGAUUAAUAGGGAUAGUUGGGGGCAUUAGUAUUCAAUUGUCAGAGGUGAAAUUCUUGGAUUUAUUGAAGACUAACUACUGCGAAAGCAUUUGCCAGGGAUGUUUUCAUUAAUCAAGAACGAAAGUUAGGGGAUCGAAGACGAUCAGAUACCGUCGUAGUCUUAACCAUAAACUAUGCCGACUAGGGAUCGGAUGAUGUUAAUUUUUAAUGACUCAUUCGGCGUCCG
This 518-nucleotide ribosomal RNA is filed under the name uncultured Glomus. RNAcentral describes it as "SSU rRNA". It matches the Rfam family "Eukaryotic small subunit ribosomal RNA", at positions 569 to 1089 of the family's 1831-position model. The record is from RNAcentral. Lineage: Eukaryota; Fungi; Glomeromycota; Glomeromycetes; Glomerales; Glomeraceae.